GCAAGUCGAACGGUAAGGCUCCUUCGGGAGUACACGAGUGGCAAACGGGUGCGUAACGCGUACGAAACAUACCUUUAUCAGGAGGAUAGCCCCGGGAAACUGGGAAUAAUACUCCAUAGUAUUAUUUAACCGCAUGGUUUGAAUAAUUAAAGCUCCGGCGGAUAAAGAUUGUCGUGCGUCCCAUUAGCUAGUUGGUGAGGUAAAGGCUCACCAAGGCGACGAUCAGUAUCUGGUUUGAGAGGACGACC
RNAcentral lists this ribosomal RNA (248 nucleotides) under uncultured bacterium. Its description in RNAcentral is "partial 16S ribosomal RNA". It matches the Rfam family "Bacterial small subunit ribosomal RNA", at positions 57 to 305 of the family's 1533-position model. The record is from RNAcentral.